Molecule: non-coding RNA, 630 nt
Organism: Misgurnus anguillicaudatus (oriental weatherfish)
Lineage: Eukaryota; Metazoa; Chordata; Actinopteri; Cypriniformes; Cobitidae
Source: the annotation of a RefSeq genome assembly
UCAACACAAAACUUUCAUCAUUCAGUGAGAUAAAGAAGACAAAGACUGUAAACAGCUCUACUGUAGUGUUUGUCUGUUACUUUCAUGUAAAAUCUGAGAAAGAUGUAAAUGUUUCAGUCAUUUGAUUGAGAUUUCUUCAGUUUGUAAAUGUAAGUGACAGUGAAAGAGGAAACAGAUUUGAAUUUGUGUGAUUGUGAUGAGAUGAGAGCAGAAGAUCAGACUGUCAGUCAGUCAGGACAUCACAGCUCCUUCACUUCUCAAUCAUUCACUGGAAACAUGACAACACAAACUCUCAUCUGUUCUCUGAUCAUUUCACUUACAGGUUGUUUUGGUGAGAUUAUUCUCACUCAGAGUCCUAAAGUUCAGAUGGUGUCAGGAGGAGAAAGCGUCUCUCUCAUCUGUAAAUCCAGCAGUUCUGCUUUUCAAUCCAGUUUAGCUUGGUAUCAUCAGACACCCGGAAAAACACACAAACUUCUUUUCUCUAGUGUUGGUAGCCGAGUGUCUGGUGUGUCUGAGAGAUUUACUGAUGAGAGAUCAGGCACAAACUUCAAACUGAAUAUUAGAGAUGUUCAGCCUGAAGAUGCAGGAGAUUAUUACUGUCAACAGUAUUAUGAUUCAUUCACACAGUGA